UAAUGCCUGGGGUGUGCGACCCCUCUCUUAAUUUUGAACCUACAUUUACGUUUAUGGGAUUCCUAUUAUUGUUGAUUGGAUGUCAGGCCGUCAUUUUGCAGCGGAAGGCAGAAGAGAUACUGCGGUUGCCCACCUAGCUUUGGCUAGGCGUCAAAAUAAGGGAAACGGCACUCCGGGUUUUAC
RNAcentral lists this non-coding RNA (183 nucleotides) under Candidatus Pullilachnospira intestinigallinarum. Its description in RNAcentral is "6S RNA". It matches the Rfam family "6S / SsrS RNA". From Rfam's summary of the family: E. coli 6S RNA was the first non coding RNA to be sequenced, but its function was unknown until recently. It consists of 184 nucleotides that fold into an extended hairpin structure with a large single-stranded internal bulge. Lineage: Bacteria; Bacillati; Bacillota; Clostridia; Lachnospirales; Lachnospiraceae. The record is from RNAcentral.